Molecule: long non-coding RNA, 947 nt
Organism: Homo sapiens (human)
Lineage: Eukaryota; Metazoa; Chordata; Mammalia; Primates; Hominidae
Gene: XPC-AS1
Product: XPC antisense RNA 1
Source: Ensembl
UCAAGUGUUUUGUUUGUUUCCCUUGGAUAAAAGUGACUCCGAUUUUUAAUGGCUCCUCUCAAAGAUUAACAUCUCUUCACUAAAUACAGAAGAAUUCCAUAUGUAAUGAAUUUCCAGCCUCCAUGAAAACAAAAUGGACUCUUUCAUGCUGUCUCAACAUAUGAAUACAUUGCUCUGUCACCUGGGUGUUAUUACCGACUUAAAUCUGAAAGAAGCUGGGCACGGCAGUGGUGUGUGGGUGCCUGCAGUCCUGAGGAGCUGGGACUGUUUCCCGAACAAUGCCUUUCCACCACACACGGUGGUUGUGAGGGCCAGCUGAGGCAAAGCCCUCAGGAAGACCACUCAAGCCCAGGAGUCCAGCCUGCGCAAGACACUUUUUUUAGGCUUCUGUCACCACAAAAUGUUACUUGGAAAACUAGAUCCCAGCAGAUGACCUGUACUUCUCUGCUCUCUCCCCUACUGCAAAGAGGCAGUGAGGGCAGCAUUAGUAAGCCUGACUCAGGGGAAGGUAAGUGGCCUGCAGAGAAAUGGUCCUAGGUCCGCAACCGAGGCGAGUGAACUUGUCGGACAGAUGAAGACUCUAACUGGAAGAAACGAUCAGCGCAUUCACGGAUGCACCACCAUCCAGAAAUCUCCCGGUGGCUUCCAUACAAAAACUGAUGUUUCUAAAGAUGGAAAGAACAGGUCUAGGAGGCAGAAGAGUAUCUCCUAGCAAAGUGUUCUGUAGCUCAAAGGGCAGUCAGGAGCACGUCUUUGAAUUCCUCGCAGACGAUGUAUCCAUCAGUCCUGUGGGGACACAACGCGAUGUCAACCCUCGAACCUGCUGCCUGCUCUGCCUCUCCUCCCUCCCCAGUUUGUGGAAGACAGUGGGCCACAUCUGAGCACUAGGGGUCCUGAAGGAUGUCGCGGGUCAGCCAGUGUCCCACAUCCUCCGUGCAGAAGGCAGG